Non-coding RNA from Oryctolagus cuniculus (rabbit), 1714 nucleotides. NCBI's taxonomy places the organism in Eukaryota, Metazoa, Chordata, Mammalia, Lagomorpha, Leporidae. The record is from RefSeq and is a predicted model, not a curated record.
CCGCGCUGAGCCUGCGCCUGCGCGCCUGGCUCCCGCGCAGCCUUGCCGCUGGCUCCCAGACCGUGCCAUACAAGGGAACAGUGGACUAGGGAAGUGGGGUUCUGCGCCUGCGGCGGGGGUCUGACAGACGCAGCUCCCGGAGAGCGCCUCAGCCCGAGGAGACCUGUGUUCGGGCCACCUGCCCUAGGCUUCCUGGCCUAGACGCUCCUCCAUGCGGCUGGCUCCUGCUGCUCGAUGUGAAUUCAGCUUGCACCAAGAAGCCACUGGGAACACGGGGGAUCACCCCUCCGAUUGAGAACCCCCCACCCUGGGCUGCAGCGUGGGAAAUGUCUCCCCUGCCAUCCAGGAGGCUGCAGAGCGGGAUGGGGCCAGAACAAUCAACCCAAACAGGAUGCACACUGCAGUGCACGCUGAGAUCACAACUCUGCUGAAACAUAUCUGCCAGUGGCUGACUCUGGAAAUGAGUGAGCAAAAAUGAAAACAGCUGUGGCACGGUGAUGAGAAAACUGAGUCCUAAAGGGGUAAAGUAACUUGCCCAAAGUCAUACAGCCAAUGGAGAACAGGACUGGAACUCAAGGCCAGAGUCUGCCUCCAGAACGCGAGCUCUUACCACCGCCUUGUCCUGCCUUACCCACGGCUGCUGUAUGGAAUUCAAAGGGUAUCUGGAAGAGUGAAAGAUAUAUUUCAAACAAUUCUCACAGUAUCUUACAUGUAGUAAGCAUGUAAUAUAUGUUAGCUAUCAUUAUAUGUAUCGGAGGAGUCAGGAGUGGGCUGUAGAGGUAUUUUGAGAUAUUAGCCAUUGGUGGGUGGGAUAUAUUUGUCCUGUCUGGCUGGUGAAGAAGGGAGCACCUGCCCCCAUCAGUUUCUCCCUCUUGGCCACGUGCUUCUUCCCAACUAUACAGCUAGGCAAAGAAGAGAGCAUUCCCUGAUUAAAAUGGGGAGAAGGACUCUAACAGCAGCCAGCCUGCAAUAAUUCUGAUGUAAUAAUUCAGCUGAGGCACAGAGGGCUAUGUUGGAGUGCCGGUUUGAGUCCUAGCUAUUCCUGAUUCAGACCCAGCUCUCUAUUAAUGUGCCUGGGAAACCAGCAGAGAAUGGCCCAAGUACUUGGGUCCCUGCCACCCAUGUAGUAAAUUAUAAUAAGAGAAAGUACAUGAUGAACCUUUUUUUUAAAGUGUUAUUUAUUUAUUUAUUUAUUUGAGAGGUAGAGUUACAGACAGUGAGAGGGAGAAACAGAGAGAAAGAUCAUCUGUCCGUUGGUUCACUUCCCAAAUGGCCACAAAGGCUAGAGCUGCGCCAAUCCAAAGCCAGGAGCCAGGAGCUUCUUCCCAGUUUCCCAUGUGGGUGCAGGGCCCCAAGGACUUCUGCUUUCUCAGGCCACAGCAAAGAGCUGGAUUGGAAGAGGAGCAGCUGGGACUAGAACCAGUGCCCACAUGGGAUGCCAGCGCUGCAGGCGGAGGAUUAACCUACUGUACCAUAGCGCUGGCCCUGACCCUGUCUUAAUUCUUCAUUUAUCAUUUGCAUUUUGGGCUGAGAGAAAAAAGGAACACAAUUGAGAAUCCCGGUUAUUUCAAAAUCAUGUUUGCCUUCUGUCAGCUGAGGGUACUGAGUGAUGCAGUUGAAGGUCCUUGCUUGCCCUUGUGGAUAGGGUAGGUUCAGAGGGAAAACACUGUCCCUGGGUUUCCAAAUGCCCAUUUCUUUUGGCAACCAGCAAGAU